UAAAAACCCUAACCCUAAUUAAUUGUUCUAAAGCAUUUUGGACCAAUUUAGAGUCGGGCCGAAAUAAGUAUGGGUUUAAAUCGGGUUAGGUCUUAUUACAUUAAUAAAAAAUAAAUCCAUGUUUUAUGUUGAAACGACGUUGUUUUGUGAUAUCUUCUUCUCCAAUUCAGCAGAUACGACGAUCUCUUCUUCUUCGAAAUCGUCGACGAUCUCUUCUUCCUCGAAAUCGUCGACGAUCUCUUCUUCCUCAAACUUAGACGUCUCUCUCUGCCAGUCUCUCUCUCUCUCGCUUGUCUCUAUUUCCGCUUCUCUCUCUCUCCGCCUGUCUCUUUCCGCCUCUCUCUCCGCCAGCCUCUCCGCCUCUGUCUCUCGAACUAGAGCAAACCCAGCAAGAUGAAGAUGUGGGGUUGUCAUUCUGUGACAAGGAAGUAAUAGAGUCAACAUCAAAUUGAAAAGAAAGAAGUCAUAUGCGUUGGAAGAGCCCAAGAACAGAAGGAACCUUUAACAAAAUAGAAUUUUUUUACAAUUUUUAUAAUAUCUUAGACGUGGUUUAUUUCAAAGUAUGUGUCGUGGUUUGUUAUUUAUAUAAGAUUCAAACCUUUGAUUUAACGUUAUUUGAUUUAACUUUUUAUAUGAUAACCACUAUGGAAAAUAUUUUACAUAAAAAAAAUGUAAAGGGCUUAAAGGGUUAAUAAGGGUUGAACCCUAUUUUACAUAGUUUAAUGGGUUUUGAAAGGGUUAGUAUUCACUUAGGAUUGAGCUUAAACUAAACAGGGUUGGGUUGGGCUGGACAACCCUAUACAACAUCCUUAAUUCUUGUAGUUACUUUAUGUCCCAGUGGAUUAACUUUUCUAUUCAAACGACAACCGUUAUGGUGGAUACGAUCGUAAUUAUCGUGACACAAACGGGUGAUGGCGAAAACGCUGAUGACGAAAACAACUUACUGAUGAAGGAGAUAGAGAUGUCAGUUGUGUGUAGAGUUUGUGUUAUGUGCGAUUUACUCAUCACAAACAGAAGUGCGUUGUUUUGUAAAGCAUAAAGAUUUUACGUAAUCUGUUUUAUGUUUUUCUGAACUGAGCUUUUUUUUUUUUUGCGUUACUAAUGAGUUCAUUAUCUUAUCAAAGAAGAUGAUUGGAGGUAAAUUAUGAGAACGUAAGAUAAAUAACUGAUAAACCAGAAACUUGAGAUAUAAAAAAAACAUCCAUAACUGAACUUAAAGCAAUUGUCAUAGCAAAACGAAACCAUACGAGGAGGAUCCUUGAUACAACAAAAA
Long non-coding RNA from Brassica napus (rape), 1273 nucleotides. RefSeq lists it as uncharacterized. The transcript has 2 exons. The record is from RefSeq and is a predicted model, not a curated record. Lineage: Eukaryota; Viridiplantae; Streptophyta; Magnoliopsida; Brassicales; Brassicaceae.